This is a long non-coding RNA of Mobula hypostoma (lesser devil ray), 979 nucleotides long. RefSeq lists it as uncharacterized. The record is from RefSeq and is a predicted model, not a curated record. The transcript has 4 exons. Lineage: Eukaryota; Metazoa; Chordata; Chondrichthyes; Myliobatiformes; Myliobatidae.
GUCUUGCCGGCACUCAUAAGACACUGCCUCUGCUCACGUGUGAAACGAUUCUGACGGAAGGGCUUGUGGCAGGUAGGACCUCCCUAAGGUCUGUGCUCCAGGUUGCUGGAGGGAGCAGAGAUGGGAUAAGCAGCUACAAUUGCCACAAUCCAUUUACUGCCCCCUAGAUUCUGGGCAGGUGCGAGAGGAAUGGAAAGUGGCAAUAUGGUGCACGUAUUGAAGAAAGGAUGUGAGGACAUUCUUCACAAACGCAGGGUGUCAGUUUAACGUUAACGUCCUGAUGAAGGGUCUCAGCCCAAAACAUGGGCACUUUAUUCCUUUCCACAGAUGCUCCCUGGCCUGCUGAGUUCCUCCAGCAAUUUGUGUGUCCAAAUGCUGCAUUAAGACAUCGAUUCACGACAGCUUUGCUACUGCAGACAGCUACGCAGAAGGCCAACAGUCAGCGUUCAUCCCUCAACCAGCCAGCACACGCGUUCAUGCUUUGGCCAGUGGAGUUGGUGCAGUAGGAUGCUGUCACAAGCAAGAUGGAAGGCACAUGCUCGACAUUUCAGGACCGGCUUCUUUCCCUUCACCAUCAGAUUUCUGAAUGGUCCAUGAAUCCUCACAAUUUUGCUCUCUUCUGGUACCACCGAUUUACAUUUGUAAAAUAUUUCUUAUUGUAACUUAUAGUAUGUUUACGUAUUCCACUGUAUAGCUGCUACAAAACAAAACAAAAAUCACGACAUGUAUCAGUAAUAAUAAACCUGAUUCUGAAGCAGCGGCUAACCCAUUGAAACGUAAUUUAGUCAGGGUCCUGACUGUUGUGUGUUUAAUAUUUAAGUAAUAUUUCAGUAAUCCUGUAAAUAUAUUGUUGAUUAUGCAUUCUUCCUUGUUUAAAAUAAUUCAUUAUGGGUAAUAUGUAUAAAUACGUGAAUUGCAUACGUCAUCAUGCUACCAGGUGAUUCAUGCGUGCCUUGCUUAAAGUAAACUCGAAGUUAGA